Xiphophorus couchianus (Monterrey platyfish) is the source of this 537-nucleotide long non-coding RNA. RefSeq lists it as uncharacterized. The record is from RefSeq and is a predicted model, not a curated record. NCBI's taxonomy places the organism in Eukaryota, Metazoa, Chordata, Actinopteri, Cyprinodontiformes, Poeciliidae. The transcript has 2 exons.
GCGGGGCGAUGGCGGUGGACCUGGGUUGAAGGAGGAGAAAGCGAGAAGGCUCCAGCAGUAGCACGGCAGCGCGGCGGACCUUGCAUAAGUGUCCAUGCCAUCGGGAUCCGCUGCUUUUUCCCCAAAUGCUUUUCAGCGGGAAGGAAUUGUGAACCCCCUCCCGUCUUCGUUAUUCUGCCAUAAGACGACGCCACUCUUUAUCUUUGCCCCCAAAAAUUGCAGUGGGAAGGUGCCGCUGUUAUGGUUCUCCGUAUCAUCUGCAACGGAGGGAAGAGACGCAAAAUGCUGCAGUGAAGCACAAGUUGGGGGAGCCUGAUCGCAAAACAAAGGGACCCGUUUCAUUCCACGAAAACAAAAUAGAACAAUGAUAGAAAAUUAUAACAAUAAAAAAAUAAAUAAAAGGAAUUAUUUCUGCACGCCAGCUACAGCGUUAAUACGCCGCCUUCCACCGCGGCUCUCUCUCCGCCUCCCCUACCAGCCGCUGACGGAGAGAAAAUAAGACCGAUCGCCAAGGGGCUCCAAAAAAAAAAAAAAAAA